GCAGUCUGCAUCGCAUAAAGGCUGCUUUGGUAUCGCACAGCGAGAUUAAGUAGCAAUCUUUACAGUCCACUGCAUUAAGACGCUAUAAAAAAAAUACUGAAAAUGUGUAUGAAAGAUACGCGAACCCUUAUUCGGAACUACCCAGCAAACAUUAAAUCGUAUAAUUUUGCACGUGCCAAGUCUUACAAGAAAUCCGAAUAAAUCAGAAUCGCGUAUAAUAUCAAUCAAAAUAGCCGCGCGAAAUAGCUGGUGGAUGAUAAUCCAGACGACUGGAGUUCGAACCCACAUCGGAGCAGUUUCCACCAAACAUCAAUCUUCGUCAUUUUAAACAUUCAUAUUCCACUCCCAACACGAGU
Molecule: long non-coding RNA, 356 nt
Organism: Toxorhynchites rutilus septentrionalis
Lineage: Eukaryota; Metazoa; Arthropoda; Insecta; Diptera; Culicidae
Exons: 3
Source: RefSeq, a predicted model, not a curated record